This 497-nucleotide ribosomal RNA is filed under the name uncultured bacterium. RNAcentral describes it as "partial 16S ribosomal RNA". It matches the Rfam family "Bacterial small subunit ribosomal RNA", at positions 28 to 507 of the family's 1533-position model. The record is from RNAcentral.
GAUGAACGCUGGCGGCGUGCCUAAUACAUGCGAGUCGAGCGAACAGACGAGGAGCUUGCUCCUCUGACGUUAGCGGCGGACGGGUGAGUAACACGUGGAUAACCUACCUAUAAGACUGGGAUAACUUCGGGAAACCGGAGCUAAUACCGGAUAAUAUAUUGAACCGCAUGGUUCAAUAGUGAAAGACGGUUUUGCUGUCACUUAUAGAUGGAUCCGCGCCGCAUUAGCUAGUUGGUAAGGUAACGGCUUACCAAGGCAACGAUGCGUAGCCGACCUGAGAGGGUGAUCGGCCACACUGGAACUGAGACACGGUCCAGACUCCUACGGGAGGCAGCAGUAGGGAAUCUUCCGCAAUGGGCGAAAGCCUGACGGAGCAACGCCGCGUGAGUGAUGAAGGUCUUCGGAUCGUAAAACUCUGUUAUUAGGGAAGAACAAAUGCGUAAGUAACUAUGCACGUCUUGACGGUACCUAAUCAGAAAGCCACGGCUAACUACGUG